RNAcentral lists this ribosomal RNA (520 nucleotides) under uncultured Acinetobacter sp. RNAcentral describes it as "bacterial SSU rRNA". It matches the Rfam family "Bacterial small subunit ribosomal RNA", at positions 505 to 1025 of the family's 1533-position model. The record is from RNAcentral. Lineage: Bacteria; Pseudomonadati; Pseudomonadota; Gammaproteobacteria; Moraxellales; Moraxellaceae.
GUGCCAGCCGCAGCGGUAAUACAGAGGGUGCGAGCGUUAAUCGGAUUUACUGGGCGUAAAGCGUGCGUAGGCGGCUUAUUAAGUCGGAUGUGAAAUCCCCGAGCUUAACUUGGGAAUUGCAUUCGAUACUGGUGAGCUAGAGUAUGGGAGAGGAUGGUAGAAUUCCAGGUGUAGCGGUGAAAUGCGUAGAGAUCUGGAGGAAUACCGAUGGCGAAGGCAGCCAUCUGGCCUAAUACUGACGCUGAGGUACGAAAGCAUGGGGAGCAAACAGGAUUAGAUACCCUGGUAGUCCAUGCCGUAAACGAUGUCUACUAGCCGUUGGGGCCUUUGAGGCUUUAGUGGCGCAGCUAACGCGAUAAGUAGACCGCCUGGGGAGUACGGUCGCAAGACUAAACUCAAAUGAAUUGACGGGGGCCCGCACAAGCGGUGGAGCAUGUGGUUUAAUUCGAUGCAACGCGAAGAACCUUACCUGGCCUUGACAUACUAGAAACUUUCCAGAGAUGGAUUGGUGCCUUACGGG